AUGUACAGUAGAGGUGCAUUUUUUAUUAGUAAACCUACGGAGAUCUGAGGGGAUCUAUGAUGUGGGUUAAAAGGAAAAAAUGCCGAAGGAUAUGACUCCCUUGAUUUAUAUCCUGGUUAUACAGUAAAUAACUGUAUAACUGUCAUCAGUAAUGAUGGAGCGCUAUCUGUCUU
This 173-nucleotide non-coding RNA is filed under the name Pseudobacteroides cellulosolvens. RNAcentral describes it as "Lysine sequence". It matches the Rfam family "Lysine riboswitch aptamer". Rfam says of the family: Riboswitches are metabolite binding domains within certain messenger RNAs that serve as precision sensors for their corresponding targets. RNAcentral also lists the same sequence under 1 other name. Lineage: Bacteria; Bacillati; Bacillota; Clostridia; Eubacteriales; Oscillospiraceae. The record is from RNAcentral.